AUUGUCGAAACCUGCCCAGCAGAACGACCCGCGAACACGUAUCAAUGCUACGGGGGCGAGGGGAGGCAUGCCCCCUCUCUCCCCCAGAGCCAGGACGCGCUCGGUGCUCGAUCCGCCAACCGUGCCACGUGCGCGGGAAGCACCGGCACCGGCGUGCCCUCGGCAUCACAACGAACCCCGGCGCAAAUCGCGUCAAGGAAACGAAACGCAAGAGCCCGCUCCCAUCCCCCGGUCUCGGGUCGUGGUGGGGGCGAAGGCAUCUUCGAUAUUAUACUAAACGACUCUCGGCAACGGAUAUCUCGGCUCUCGCAUCGAUGAAGAACGUAGCGAAAUGCGAUACUUGGUGUGAAUUGCAGAAUCCCGUGAACCAUCGAGUCUUGAACGCAAGUUGCGCCCAAAGCCAUUAGGCCGAGGGCACGUCUGCCUGGGCGUCACGUAUCGCGUCGCCACCCCAACCCCCGUCCACGUAUGCCGUGAUGCGGGGCGUCCUGUGGGGGCGGAUAUUGGCCUCCCGUGCACUUCGCCGCGGUUGGCCUAAAAGCGAGCCCCGGGCGACAGAACGUCACGAUAAGUGGUGGUUGAUAAGCCCCGGCCCUUCAAGUGUCAUGUCGUGCGUUGCCCUGUCGCCCGUUGGAGCUACGAGACCCCGAUGCGUCGUCCCGACGAUGCUUCCAUCGCGACCCCAGGUCAGGCGGGAUUACCCGC
This 705-nucleotide ribosomal RNA is filed under the name Sycopsis sinensis. RNAcentral describes it as "eukaryotic LSU rRNA". The stretch from base 280 to 434 matches the Rfam family "5.8S ribosomal RNA". Lineage: Eukaryota; Viridiplantae; Streptophyta; Magnoliopsida; Saxifragales; Hamamelidaceae. The record is from RNAcentral.